GGAAUAUUGCACAAUGGGCGCAAGCCUGAUGCAGCCAUGCCGCGUGUAUGAAGAAGGCCUUCGGUAUGUAAACUUCUAUCAGCAGGGAAGAAAAUGACGGUACCUGACUAAGAAGCCCCGGCUAACUACGUGCCAGCAGCCGCGGUAAUACGGAGGGUGCAAGCGUUAAUCGGAAUUACUGGGCGUAAAGCGCACGCAGGCGGUUUGUUAAGUCAGAUGUGAAAUCCCCGGGCUCAACCUGGGAACUGCAUCUGAUACUGGCAAGCUUGAGUCUCGUAGAGGGGGGUAGAAUUCCAGGUGUAGCGGUGAAAUGCGUAGAGAUCUGGAGGAAUACCGGUGGCGAAGGCGGCCCCCUGGACGAAGACUGACGCUCAGGUGCGAAAGCGUGGGGAGC
This 394-nucleotide ribosomal RNA is filed under the name uncultured bacterium. RNAcentral describes it as "bacterial SSU rRNA". It matches the Rfam family "Bacterial small subunit ribosomal RNA", at positions 358 to 769 of the family's 1533-position model. The record is from RNAcentral.